RNAcentral lists this ribosomal RNA (1843 nucleotides) under Vibrio cholerae. Its description in RNAcentral is "partial 23S ribosomal RNA". It matches the Rfam family "Bacterial large subunit ribosomal RNA", at positions 379 to 2213 of the family's 2925-position model. The record is from RNAcentral. Lineage: Bacteria; Pseudomonadati; Pseudomonadota; Gammaproteobacteria; Vibrionales; Vibrionaceae.
CCGUAACCGACGCUUCAUCGAGCGUGAAAUCGAGUAGGGCGGGACACGUGAUAUCCUGUCUGAAUAUGGGGGGACCAUCCUCCAAGGCUAAAUACUCCUGACUGACCGAUAGUGAACCAGUACCGUGAGGGAAAGGCGAAAAGAACCCCUGUGAGGGGAGUGAAAUAGAACCUGAAACCGUGUACGUACAAGCAGUAGGAGCACCUUCGUGGUGUGACUGCGUACCUUUUGUAUAAUGGGUCAGCGACUUAUAUUCAGUGGCAAGGUUAACCGUAUAGGGGAGCCGUAGCGAAAGCGAGUCUUAACUGGGCGCUCAGUCUCUGGAUAUAGACCCGAAACCGGGUGAUCUAGCCAUGGGCAGGUUGAAGGUUGAGUAACAUCAACUGGAGGACCGAACCGACUAAUGUUGAAAAAUUAGCGGAUGACUUGUGGCUAGGGGUGAAAGGCCAAUCAAACUCGGAGAUAGCUGGUUCUCCCCGAAAGCUAUUUAGGUAGCGCCUCGGACGAAUACUACUGGGGGUAGAGCACUGUUAAGGCUAGGGGGUCAUCCCGACUUACCAACCCUUUGCAAACUCCGAAUACCAGUAAGUACUAUCCGGGAGACACACGGCGGGUGCUAACGUCCGUCGUGGAGAGGGAAACAACCCAGACCGCCAGCUAAGGUCCCAAAGUAUUGCUAAGUGGGAAACGAUGUGGGAAGGCUCAGACAGCUAGGAUGUUGGCUUAGAAGCAGCCAUCAUUUAAAGAAAGCGUAAUAGCUCACUAGUCGAGUCGGCCUGCGCGGAAGAUGUAACGGGGCUAAGCAAUACACCGAAGCUGCGGCAAUGUCUUUUAGACAUUGGGUAGGGGAGCGUUCUGUAAGCCGUUGAAGGUGAAUCGUAAGGUUUGCUGGAGGUAUCAGAAGUGCGAAUGCUGACAUGAGUAACGACAAAGGGGGUGAAAAACCUCCUCGCCGGAAGACCAAGGGUUCCUGUCCAACGUUAAUCGGGGCAGGGUGAGUCGACCCCUAAGGUGAGGCCGAAAGGCGUAAUCGAUGGGAAACGGGUUAAUAUUCCCGUACUUCUGACUAUUGCGAUGGGGGGACGGAGAAGGCUAGGUGGGCCAGGCGACGGUUGUCCUGGUUCAAGUGCGUAGGCUUGAGAGUUAGGUAAAUCCGGCUCUCUCUAAGGCUGAGACACGACGUCGAGCUACUACGGUAGUGAAGUCAUUGAUGCCAUGCUUCCAGGAAAAGCCUCUAAGCUUCAGAUAGUCAGGAAUCGUACCCCAAACCGACACAGGUGGUCGGGUAGAGAAUACCAAGGCGCUUGAGAGAACUCGGGUGAAGGAACUAGGCAAAAUGGUACCGUAACUUCGGGAGAAGGUACGCUCUUGAUGGUGAAGUCCCUCGCGGAUGGAGCUGACGAGAGUCGCAGAUACCAGGUGGCUGCAACUGUUUAUUAAAAACACAGCACUGUGCAAAAUCGCAAGAUGACGUAUACGGUGUGACGCCUGCCCGGUGCCGGAAGGUUAAUUGAUGGGGUUAGCGCAAGCGAAGCUCUUGAUCGAAGCCCCGGUAAACGGCGGCCGUAACUAUAACGGUCCUAAGGUAGCGAAAUUCCUUGUCGGGUAAGUUCCGACCUGCACGAAUGGCGUAAUGAUGGCCACGCUGUCUCCACCCGAGACUCAGUGAAAUUGAAAUCGCUGUGAAGAUGCAGUGUACCCGCGGCUAGACGGAAAGACCCCGUGAACCUUUACUACAGCUUGGCACUGAACAUUGAACCUACAUGUGUAGGAUAGGUGGGAGGCUAUGAAGACGUGACGCCAGUUGCGUUGGAGCCGUCCUUGAAAUACCACCCUUGUAUGU